GGGAAACCAAUGCAGGGGUGGGUUCAGGACAAGUCUCUGAAUGUCCUUGAGUGGCCCAGCCAGAGCCCAGACUUGAACCCAGAUCGAACAUCUCUGGAGAGACCUGAAAAUAGCUGUGCAGCGACACUCCCCAUCCAUCCUGACUUGAGUGGAUCCGUAGCUUGAGAGGAUCCGCAGAGAAGAAUGGGAGAAACUCCACAAAUGCAGGUGUGCCAAGCUUGUAGCAUCAUACCCAAGAAGACUUUAGGCUGUAAUCACUGCCAAAGGUGCUUCAACAAAGUAUUGAGGCCAGUGGUGCCUGGUCCCCUCGCUGAGGCUGGAUCCAGUGACG
Oncorhynchus tshawytscha (Chinook salmon) is the source of this 331-nucleotide long non-coding RNA. The record is from Ensembl. NCBI's taxonomy places the organism in Eukaryota, Metazoa, Chordata, Actinopteri, Salmoniformes, Salmonidae.